RNAcentral lists this long non-coding RNA (307 nucleotides) under Apteryx owenii (little spotted kiwi). Its description in RNAcentral is "lncRNA (ENSAOWG00000017376.1)". The record is from RNAcentral. Lineage: Eukaryota; Metazoa; Chordata; Aves; Apterygiformes; Apterygidae.
UUACCAAUGAUCUAGGACAAACUUAACAAAAGCAAAAAAUCAUAUUUCCAAAUUUUUCUGAGACUAUUAUAAUCAAUGACCUGUAAGAAUGCAAAAAGAAUAACAUGGAAGACCUUCAAAGUAUUGUUUUCUGCCAUCAGAACUUCAAGAAAGAUCUUAUGGGACAUACACAUUGUGGCAGAGAAGAAUGGUACCAAUGAAGAACAGAUUGACAGUGAAACUUCAAGAUACACAUACUUGUGCUGCUUUUAAGAGAACAAUUGGCUUUGAUCUCUUCUGAGAUCUUCACAUUUUUCAUUUAUCUAUG